RNAcentral lists this ribosomal RNA (461 nucleotides) under uncultured bacterium. Its description in RNAcentral is "partial 16S ribosomal RNA". It matches the Rfam family "Bacterial small subunit ribosomal RNA", at positions 338 to 795 of the family's 1533-position model. The record is from RNAcentral.
CCUACGGGUGGCAGCAGUGAGGCAUAUUGGUCAAUGGGCGCGAGCCUGAACCAGCCAAGUCGCGUGAAGGAUGACUGCCCUACGGGUUGUAAACUUCUUUUAUAAAGGUAUAAAGUUAGGCACGUGUGCCUUUUUGUAUGUACUUUAUGAAUAAGGCUCGGCUCACUCCGUGCCAGCAGCCGCGGUAAUACGGAGGAUCCGAGCGUUAUCCGGAUUUAUUGGGUUUAAAUGGAUCGUAGGCUGUGAGUGAAGUCAGAGGGGAAAGGCCCCCGGUCAACGGGGUGAAGUGCCAUUGAUACUGCUUGGCUGGAAGGCGGGAGCGGUAGGAGGAAUGUGCGGUGUAGCGGUGAAAUGCAUAGAGAUCACACAGAACACCGAUUGCGAAGGCAUCUCACGAAUCCGCGAUUGACGCUGAUGCACGAAAGCGUGGGUAUCAAACAGGAUUAGAUACCCCAGUAGUC